GCAUAUCAGAACGAUGCGGUGAAUACGUUCCCGGGCCUUGUACACACCGCCCGUCACACCACGAAAGUUUGUUGUACCCCGAAGUCGGUGCCUUAACCUCGCAAGAGGAGAGAGCCGCCCAAGGUAUGGCCGAUGAUUGGGGUGAAGUCGUAACAAGGUAGCCGUAGGGGAACCUGCGGCUGGAUCACCUCCUUUCUAGGAGAGAAGGGUCCUGGAUGAAGCGCUCCCUAUUUAGUCUUGUGAAGGAUCCGAGUGGAAGCCGGGACCGGAGAAAGACCGGGCCUGUAGCUCAGAUGGUGAGUAGCGCACGCCUGAUAAGCGUGAGGUCGAUAGUUCGAAUCUAUCCAGGCCCACAUCUGCGGGGAUGUAGCUCAGUUGGGAGAGCGCCUG
RNAcentral lists this ribosomal RNA (390 nucleotides) under uncultured bacterium. Its description in RNAcentral is "partial 16S ribosomal RNA". The stretch from base 1 to 195 matches the Rfam family "Bacterial small subunit ribosomal RNA", at positions 1344 to 1533 of the family's 1533-position model. The record is from RNAcentral.